Molecule: long non-coding RNA, 1108 nt
Organism: Cottoperca gobio
Lineage: Eukaryota; Metazoa; Chordata; Actinopteri; Perciformes; Bovichtidae
Exons: 5
Source: RefSeq, a predicted model, not a curated record
CCAUCAAGGCUGGGCAGAGGUUUUUGGAGGUGUCUGGAUCCGAUUCAAUUCCCAUUUACAAUCUAUAGUUGAGUGUGGAGGUGUUUCUGCAGCGAUGAAAAACAAAUGAGGUUCAGAUUUCCAGUCUUCUCCACCUUCACUCUCCUCCUCCAGACAGAGAAUUUCUCCAUCUUCCUCCUGUAUGAUGAGGCAGGAAAAAAAAGCUGAAAUUGGCCUUAAUAUUCAAGAUAUGCUCAAGAGGCUCCUUGACGCAAGAGAGAACAACACUGACAUAUCUUAAGGGCUGUGGAGUAUGUCAUGGAGGAACUCCUUCCUGAGAGAGCCCCUGCUCAAACGUGCCAUGUGUGUUGAUGUCCAGCAGAGUGUGGAGUGUAAGAAGCCUUGUUCUUAGCUGACAGACCUCAGGAGCCUGACAAACGGGCUUUUAAACUAAUGUGACCUUUUCUAUUGGGGUUUCGGAAUAAUGGUCCGUCGGAAAAAUGGCAGGCACAGAAGAUGGCCGGCCUUGAGCCACAAUGUUUCAAGUGGGAGCCAUCUAUCUCACACACAUACAUAUAUACACACACACACACACACUCUGUACUGAGGAUUAAGUUAUACAUCCAUUUGUAUUCAUUGAAAUUGAAAUUUAAAACAAUUAUUCUAUUCCUUUAUCAGAUUUUCAUAUUGUUUUCAUUUCUACCUGUUCUGAAGAGGAAACCAGUUUGUAACACGAGGACAGCCAGCGUUCCAACAUGAUCUGCCAGACUGUCAUAUGUAAUCUCAUUGUAUGUGUUAACAAGCAUAUCAAUAAUGCAUUUGUUUGAUGAAGUUACUCGAAAUGAUGGAACAUUUAAAAAGAUUCACAGAGCAUAGAGCGGGAUCGACAACCUUCACCAUGUCCUGUGCCAAUUUAAAAUGUUUUCAUUUGUUUAUAAUGCGUGUUGUGCAUUGAAUUAUUUACUGCUACUGCAAGUCUCUAAUCCAAUUUGACCAAUGUGCUUUAAAAUGCUAAAAUACACCCACGCUAAUACUUCACUCGAAGGAAGAAGAAUGUCCUAUACAACUCAAUAAAUAUCUCUGGAACGCUGCUUCUUACUGACUUACUUAUUUUGCUGAAAAGCUAACU